Molecule: non-coding RNA, 135 nt
Filed under: chicken gut metagenome
Description: RT-14 RNA
Rfam family: RT-14 RNA
About the family: Cloacimonetes, Firmicutes, Proteobacteria.
Source: RNAcentral
CUCUAAUACAAUUUUUAGAUUAUAUAUUUUAAGGAAUAUAUACAGUAAAAGUAUUAGUAUUAAAGAGAUUUAUUCCUUCCUAAUAUAGGUAAAAAUGCAUCGGUAGAAGAGGUAUUAGUAAAAUUAUUUAAUAAU